AUUUGAUAAGAAAUGGUGCACAGAGAAAGAAAUACUAGCUGAUUCAAUUGAGCAUUUAAUACAAGUAAAAUAUAUGUCAAACAAGGCAAAUUAUUCAUAAGAUAAUUAAUCAUAGCCUUUCAUGUCAAUAAGAGUUAGCAUAAAGGUCAUUAACUCACUCAACAAAUAUUUACUUAUAGCAGGAGAACUUUUUCUGUGCUGUAUGGAGCACCUCAUGCUACUUCACCAAGGCUGACGUCAUGUGGAAAAUGGCCAGUGAUUUUCGUGUCCACCCUGGAGUGUGAAAAGAAACGUCAAUUCAGGCUAGACCAAAGAAACCACCCACAAGGAGUCCCUGGAUAUGAAGUGUCAAAGGCACGUUCUGUAACUGAGAACCAUCACUGAGGAAUUCAGCAAAGUGACAAAACCUUGGUUGCAUCUCUCAUACAUCUGUCAAAAACUAUGGUGGCUAGAAGAGUUAAGAUUCCGUUUCCUGAAUGCCAAGAAAACUUCGAGAUUUGAUCCAAGUGGUAUACAGGGUAGUUUACAGUGGUUACGUCAUAACUGCAGGAACCCGGUUUCAUCCAUCUUCAGCCACUCAGAUAAAGAAAGCUCUUGGAAGGCAAGAAGCAGUGACAAUCUGUUCCCUUGGUAACAUCCUCUGAAGAGCAUCUGGGUCACGUAAGCCAGGAAUGGUGAGGUUUAUCAAAUGAACUUGGUGGGAGUAAAUGAGAACUGUAUUUGCAAAUUACUGAUCACUUUCCACUCUGUCUCUAUUGCGUAAAUGACUCCAACGUUUUAUUUCUGACCACUUCUAUGACGUGGAAGGGUGAAGUGAAGGCCAUUGAAAUGAGCAAAACUCUCACAGUUACCAUCUCCAAGGGUGCAGAUUUCACUCCUGGGAGCAUAGCAAUGUCCUCAUUGCAAUGAAGAGAAUGGCUGUUUCCCGCUCCUCUCAUUCUCACCCAAGAGGAAUUGUGCUCUCUUUCAUGGAUGAUGCCCAGGGAAGUAAAAUAAGUGUGCGGACAGACUCAGAAGCCCAGAGCUCAGGGACAUGUGCCAUGCUGUAACUGGGCAAUGCAGCUGUUGAGACCGCAGAGAACCGCCAUACCCAAAAUAUAGCUUUGAGCCUGGCGUUCUCAGCAGGGCUAUUUUCCUU
RNAcentral lists this long non-coding RNA (1138 nucleotides) under Macaca mulatta (Rhesus monkey). Its description in RNAcentral is "lncRNA (ENSMMUG00000053606.1)". The record is from RNAcentral. Lineage: Eukaryota; Metazoa; Chordata; Mammalia; Primates; Cercopithecidae.